UAUGCUCGAAUCUCUAAGGUUGCGUCGUGGUUCGAACAAAUCGUCAAUCUCCUUCUAAUUUUUCUUAAGAUCUGUGCAUAUCGGAUGGGAUUCCUCGAGAUCUGCAUAUCGGACGGGAUCCCUCGUGAUCUGUGCCGAUUUGACGAGAUCUGCUUCACUCUCUCGAGAUCUGUGCCGAUCAGACGAGAUCUGCUUCACUCUUCCUAGAUUUGAAGAUUUGUGUUCUCUCUCUAGUUCUAUGGCGGUCUGUAGGUAUGAACUAUCUUUUCUCGAAAUCUGAGGCAGGCUUGCUCACAGAUCAGUCGAUUAAUGUAAGAUGAGGCAGGGUUCUAUCAAGCACUGAGUGUUUGAUGUUUUAUAUGUUGUCGUGACUGGGCCUUUGCCAUGUCGGGUGAGCUCGCAUGGCAG
This 408-nucleotide unclassified non-coding RNA is filed under the name Hevea brasiliensis (rubber tree). The record is from RNAcentral. Lineage: Eukaryota; Viridiplantae; Streptophyta; Magnoliopsida; Malpighiales; Euphorbiaceae.